GGGGAAUAUUGGACAAUGGGCGCAAGCCUGAUCCAGCCAUGCCGCGUGAGUGAUGAAGGCCUUAGGGUUGUAAAGCUCUUUUGUCCGGGACGAUAAUGACGGUACCGGAAGAAUAAGCCCCGGCUAACUUCGUGCCAGCAGCCGCGGUAAUACGAAGGGGGCUAGCGUUGCUCGGAAUCACUGGGCGUAAAGGGCGCGUAGGCGGCCUUGUAAGUUGGGGGUGAAAGCCCGUGGCUCAACCACGGAAUUGCCUUCGAUACUGCUUGGCUUGAGUGUGGUAGAGGUUGGUGGAACUGCGAGUGUAGAGGUGAAAUUCGUAGAUAUUCGCAAGAACACCGGUGGCGAAGGCGGCCAACUGGACCAUCACUGACGCUGAGGCGCGAAAGCGUGGGGAGCAAACAGGA
This 404-nucleotide ribosomal RNA is filed under the name uncultured Methylobacterium sp. Its description in RNAcentral is "bacterial SSU rRNA". It matches the Rfam family "Bacterial small subunit ribosomal RNA", at positions 356 to 777 of the family's 1533-position model. The record is from RNAcentral. Lineage: Bacteria; Pseudomonadati; Pseudomonadota; Alphaproteobacteria; Hyphomicrobiales; Methylobacteriaceae.